Molecule: long non-coding RNA, 741 nt
Organism: Oncorhynchus tshawytscha (Chinook salmon)
Lineage: Eukaryota; Metazoa; Chordata; Actinopteri; Salmoniformes; Salmonidae
Source: Ensembl
UUACAGUUAACUAGUCCAACGCAAUAAUGACCUGCCUGUCUCUCGUUGCACUCCACAAGGAGACUGCCUGUUACGCAAAUGCCAAGGGAGUGAUGGUGAUGACAGUGGCUCUGAUGACCAGGCGAGAGAGGAGAAUAACCUGUGGGAGGAGCAACAGAUUGGGAUGUGAGUCAAGCGACACCCUGGGGGAACAGCUUUACCAGGACGCCCUGGUGUUCUGGCGGGUUUUUAGAUGACAAAUCCUCUCCAAAGAGGCGGUUCAGAGACCAGCCGUGAAGGUACGUAAAACAACACUUGUUUUAAAGGUCUUGUUCCAUGAUGCGUUUUCUAAAAGAGGGUUUAUAGUGCACUGUGGUGACGGACCAUGUGGCUAGUUAGCCCGUAACAACAUCUACCAGUAAAGUCCAGUCAAGAGAUGGAGGGCUUUCGUGUCACAGCUCCUUGCGUGUUGCCUUGUGCAGCUAAUUCCCCUGCCUUUACUGCGUGGUCUCUCUUGCCAUUUCUGUGACAUCCAUUGCUUUAGUGGUGUUUCCAUCUUGCGUGUCAACUCUUCGGUAACGUGGGCCGGUGGGGUGGUUUGAUACCUGAACACGCUCUAAAGGAGCUUGAUGUUGGACAAACUCCUGAACUGCUACCUGAAUGAUGACACUACUCAACGAGACCCCAUCUCAGGACUCUGUCCAUAAAUGCAAAAAGGUGUGUAGGUGAAUUGCGUGUGUCUAAUGUUGAUGUGUUGUCUAC